CAAUGGGCGAAGCCUGAUGCAGCGACGCCGCGUGAGUGAAGAAGUAUUUCGGUAUGUAAANCUCUAUCAGCAGGGAAGAAAAUGACGGUACCUGACUAAGAAGCCCCGGCUAACUACGUGCCAGCAGCCGCGGUAAUACGUAGGGGGCAAGCGUUAUCCGGAUUUACUGGGUGUAAAGGGAGCGUAGACGGUGUGGCAAGUCUGAUGUGAAAGGCAUGGGCUCAACCUGUGGACUGCAUUGGAAACUGUCAUACUUGAGUGCCGGAGGGGUAAGCGGAAUUCCUAGUGUAGCGGUGAAAUGCGUAGANAUGGGGAGGAACACCAGUGGCGAAGGCGGCCUGCUGGNCUUUAACUGACGCUGAGGCNCGAAAGCGUGGGUAGCAAACAGGAUUAGAUACCCUGGUAGUCCAAGGGCGAAUUC
RNAcentral lists this ribosomal RNA (421 nucleotides) under uncultured bacterium. Its description in RNAcentral is "SSU rRNA". It matches the Rfam family "Bacterial small subunit ribosomal RNA", at positions 369 to 808 of the family's 1533-position model. The record is from RNAcentral.